Molecule: unclassified non-coding RNA, 363 nt
Filed under: uncultured bacterium
Lineage: Bacteria
Description: contains 16S-23S intergenic spacer region
Source: RNAcentral
UCCCCGUUGCCGGGGCAGUCUGACUAGAGAAAUUCAACUAAUCAUAAGGGUUGCGCUCGUUAAUGGACUUAACCAAACAUCUCACGACACGAGCUGACGACGGCCAUGCAACACCUGUCACUGGAUUCCCGAAGGCACGGUCUCCUUUCGAAGACUUUCCCAGGAUGUCAAACCUUGGUAAGGUUCUACGCUUUGCAUCGAAUUAAACAACACGCUCCACCGCUUGUGCGGGUCCCCGUCAAUUCCUUUAUGUUUUAGUCUUGCGACCGUACUCCACAGGCGGGAUGCUUAACGCGUUAGCUUCGCUACUAGAAGGGUCGAUACUUCUAACAGCUAGCAUCCAUAGUUUACGGCGUGGACUAC